RNAcentral lists this ribosomal RNA (498 nucleotides) under uncultured bacterium. RNAcentral describes it as "partial 16S ribosomal RNA". It matches the Rfam family "Bacterial small subunit ribosomal RNA", at positions 899 to 1397 of the family's 1533-position model. The record is from RNAcentral.
ACUCAAAUGAAUUGACGGGGGCUCGCACAAGCAGUGGAGCAUGUGGUUUAAUUCGAUGCAACGCGAAGAACCUUACCCAGGUUAGAAAUACAGGGGACAGUGUCAGAGAUGACAUCUCCCGAAAGGGUCCCUGUACAGGUGCUGCAUGGCUGUCGUCAGCUCGUGCUGUGAGGUGUUGGGUUAAGUCCCGCAACGAGCGCAACCCUUAUGAUUAGUUGCCAUCACGUCAAGGUGGGCACUCUAGUCAGACUGCCCGGGUUAACUGGGAGGAAGGUGAGGAUGACGUCAAGUCAGCAUGGCCCUUAUGUCUGGGGCUACACACGUGCUACAAUGGCCGGCACAGAAGGAAGCAAGACCGCGAGGUGGAGCAAAUCCGUAAAGCUGGUCUCAGUUCAGAUUGCAGUCUGCAACUCGACUGCAUGAAGAUGGAAUUGCUAGUAAUGGCGUGUCAGCAAUAGCGCCGUGAAUACGUUCCCGGGCCUUGUACACACCGCCCGU